UCCAAGGAAGGCAGCAGGCACGCAAAUUACCCACUCCCGGCACGGGGAGGUAGUGACAAAAAAUAACGAUACGGGACUCAUCCGAGGCCCCGUAAUCGGAAUGAGAACACUCUAAAUCCUUUAACGAAAAUCUAUUGGAAGGCAAGUCUGGUGCCAGCAGCUGCGGUAAUUCCAGCUCCAAUAGCGUAUAUNNNNNNNNNNNUUGGUUCUGCGUGCCACGCUGUCGGUUCACCGCCUGCCGGUGCAACUGGCAUGCCGUGGCAUGUCCUGUCGGUGGCGGAUAGGCCCCACAGACCGCCCUGUUCGGUUCAUCCCGUGCGGGUAGUGGUCUGCGGGUGUCCUUGUACGCCGGCUCAAUCCUACCGCGGUGCUCUUUACCGAGUGUCGAGGUAGGCCGACACUGUUUACUUUGAACAAAUUAGAGUGCUUAAAGCAGGCUCUUAAAUCAGCCUGAAUAGUGGUGCAUGGAAUAAUGGAACAGGACCUUGGUUCUAUUUUGUUGGUUUUCGGAAUCCAAGGUAAUGAUCAAUAAGGACAGGCGGGGCUUGGCAAAUGCUUUCGCNNNNNNNNNNNNNNNNNNNCGCAAGACGCACUAAAGCGAAAGCAUUUGCCAAGUAUGUCUUAAUUGAUCAAGAACGAAAGUUAGAGGCUCGAAGGCGAUCAGAUACCGCCCUAGUUCUAACCAUAAACGAUGCCAGCCAGCGAUCCGCCGACGUUCCUCCGAUGACUCGGCGGGGAGCUUUCCCCGGGAAACCAAAGCUUUUGGGUUCCGGGGGAAGUAUGGUUGCAAAGCUGAAACUUAAAGGAAUUGACGGAAGGGCACCACCAGGAGUGGAGCCUGCGGUUCAAUUUGACUCAACACGGGAAAGCUCACCAGGCCCGGACAUUGGAAGGAUUGACAGAUCGAUAGCUCUUUCUCGAUUCAUUGGGUAGUGGUGCAUGGCCGUUUGUAGUUGGUGGACUGAUUUGUCUGGUUAAUU
RNAcentral lists this ribosomal RNA (980 nucleotides) under Myodocha serripes. RNAcentral describes it as "partial 18S ribosomal RNA". It matches the Rfam family "Eukaryotic small subunit ribosomal RNA", at positions 415 to 1324 of the family's 1831-position model. The record is from RNAcentral. Lineage: Eukaryota; Metazoa; Arthropoda; Insecta; Hemiptera; Rhyparochromidae.